RNAcentral lists this ribosomal RNA (229 nucleotides) under uncultured Bacillota bacterium. RNAcentral describes it as "uncultured Firmicutes bacterium partial 16S ribosomal RNA". It matches the Rfam family "Bacterial small subunit ribosomal RNA", at positions 1158 to 1382 of the family's 1533-position model. The record is from RNAcentral. Lineage: Bacteria; Bacillati; Bacillota.
AAGCGUGGAAGGAAGGGUGGGGAUGACGUACAAACUCAUCAUGCCCUUUAUGACCUGGGCUACAAACGUACUACAAUGGCCAGAUACAAAGAGAUGCGAAGCCGCGAGGUGGAGCGAACCUCAUAAAAAUGGUCUCAGUUCGGAUUGGAGUCUGCAACUCGACUCCAUGAAGUCGGAAUCGCUAGUAAUCGCGGGUCAGCAGACCGCGGUGAAUACGUUCCCGGGUUUU